Molecule: ribosomal RNA, 497 nt
Filed under: uncultured bacterium
Lineage: Bacteria
Description: partial 16S ribosomal RNA
Rfam family: Bacterial small subunit ribosomal RNA
Source: RNAcentral
GAUGAACGCUGGCGGCGUGCCUAAUACAUGCAAGUCGAGCGAACAGACGAGGAGCUUGCUCCUCUGACGUUAUCGGCGGACGGGUGAGUAACACGUGGAUAACCUACCUAUAAGACUGGGAUAACUUCGGGAAACCGGAGCUAAUACCGGAUAAUAUAUUGAACCGCAUGGUUCAAUAGUGAAAGACGGUUUUGCUGUCACUUAUAGAUGGAUCCGCGCCGCAUUAGCUAGUUGGUAAGGUAACGGCUUACCAAGGCAACGAUGCGUAGCCGACCUGAGAGGGUGAUCGGCCACACUGGAACUGAGACACGGUCCAGACUCCUACGGGAGGCAGCAGUAGGGAAUCUUCCGCAAUGGGCGAAAGCCUGACGGAGCAACGCCGCGUGAGUGAUGAAGGUCUUCGGAUCGUAAAACUCUGUUAUUAGGGAAGAACAAAUGUGUAAGUACCUAUGAACGUCUUGACGGUACCUAAUCAGAAAGCCACGGCUAACUACGUG